CAGCCGCCGCGGGAAUACGGAGGGUGCAAGCGUUAAUCGGAAUUACUGGGCGUAAAGCGCACGCAGGCGGUCUGACAAGUCAGAUGUGAAAUCCCCGGGCUUAACCUGGGAACUGCAUUUGAAACUGUCAGGCUGGAGUCUUGUAGAGGGGGGUGGAAUUCCAGGUGUAGCGGUGAAAUGCGUAGAGAUCUGGAGGAAUACCGGUGGCGAAGGCGGCCCCCUGGACAAAGACUGACGCUCAGGUGCGAAAGCGUGGGGAGCAAACAGGAUUAGAUACCCGUGUAGUCCCUGUCUUUAUACA
This 301-nucleotide ribosomal RNA is filed under the name uncultured bacterium. RNAcentral describes it as "partial 16S ribosomal RNA". It matches the Rfam family "Bacterial small subunit ribosomal RNA", at positions 509 to 809 of the family's 1533-position model. The record is from RNAcentral.